Molecule: ribosomal RNA, 777 nt
Filed under: uncultured Neocallimastigales
Lineage: Eukaryota; Fungi; Neocallimastigomycota; Neocallimastigomycetes; Neocallimastigales
Description: partial large subunit ribosomal RNA
Rfam family: Eukaryotic large subunit ribosomal RNA
Source: RNAcentral
GUAGUCUGCACAGAUGCAUAUCAAUAAGCGGAGGAAAAGAAACUAACAAGGAUUCCCUUAGUAACGGCGAGUGAAGCGGGAAGAGCUCAAAUUUGAAAUCUUCAAGGUUUUACCUUGACGAAUUGUAGUUUAAAGAAGUGUUUUCUGUUGAAGUUUUGGUAAAAGUUCUUUGGAAUAGGACAUCAUAGAGGGUGAGAAUCCCGUAUUUGACCAUUAUUUUCAGCUGUGUGAUACACUUUCAAAGAGUCGGAUUGUUUGGGAAUGCAGUCCCAAAAUGGGAUGGUAAAUUUCAUCUAAGGCUAAAUAUUGGCGAGAGACCGAUAGCGAACAAGUACCGUGAGGGAAAGAUGAAAAGAACUUUGAAAAGAGAGUUAAACAGUACGUGAAAUUGUCAAAAGGGAAGCGUUUGACACCAGUGUUGUUUUCUCGAAAAUCAAUUAAAAAGAGUUAGAUUUUGUUGUGUAUUGACCUUAACAGCUUGCAUUUCAAUUUUCUUGCUUUUUUUAAUGCAUCUUUUCGUUUAACAAGUCAACAUCAGUUUCUUUUGUUGUAAAAAGGUCAUUGGAAGGUGGCUUUCUUUUCGGAGAAAGUGUUUAUAGCCUUUGACUCCUGCAAUCGGAGAGACUGAGGUCUGCAGCGUAGAUCCUUCGGGGUUAGAUGCAUUUGUGCUAAGUUAUAGCUUUUUAUAGACAACUUGUUGACUAUGAUUAGUCUUGUAGCUUACUCGCUUAUGCUAUUUUAUCCUACGCUUAGGAUGUUGAAGAUGUAGCACAUCAU